CCUACGGGAGGCUGCAGUGGGGAAUAUUGGACAAUGGGGGGAACCCUGAUCCAGCCAUGCCGCGUGUCUGAAGAAGGCCCUCGGGUUGUAAAGCACUUUCAGUGAGGAAGAACGCCUGGUGGUUAAUACCCAUCAGGAAAGACAUCACUCACAGAAGAAGCACCGGCUAACUCCGUGCCAGCAGCCGCGGUAAUACGGAGGGUGCGAGCGUUAAUCGGAAUUACUGGGCGUAAAGCGCGCGUAGGUGGCUUGAUAAGCCGGUUGUGAAAGCCCCGGGCUCAACCUGGGAACGGCAUCCGGAACUGUCAAGCUAGAGUGCAGGAGAGGAAGGUAGAAUUCCCGGUGUAGCGGUGAAAUGCGUAGAGAUCGGGAGGAAUACCAGUGGCGAAGGCGGCCUUCUGGACUGACACUGACACUGAGGUGCGAAAGCGUGGGUAGCAAACAGGAUUAGAUACCCUAGUAGUC
Molecule: ribosomal RNA, 465 nt
Filed under: Vreelandella stevensii
Lineage: Bacteria; Pseudomonadati; Pseudomonadota; Gammaproteobacteria; Oceanospirillales; Halomonadaceae
Description: partial 16S ribosomal RNA
Rfam family: Bacterial small subunit ribosomal RNA
Source: RNAcentral